CGGCUAACUACGUGCCAGCAGCCGCGGUAAUACGUAGGGUGCAAGCGUUGUCCGGAAUUAUUGGGCGUAAAGAGCUCGUAGGCGGUUUGUCGCGUCUGCUGUGAAAUCCCGAGGCUCAACCUCGGGCUUGCAGUGGGUACGGGCAGACUAGAGUGCGGUAGGGGAGAUUGGAAUUCCUGGUGUAGCGGUGGAAUGCGCAGAUAUCAGGAGGAACACCGAUGGCGAAGGCAGAUCUCUGGGCCGUAACUGACGCUGAGGAGCGAAAGCAUGGGGAGCGAACAGGAUUAGAUACCCUGGUAGUCCAUGCCGUAAACGUUGGGCGCUAGAUGUAGGGACCUUUCCACGGUUUCUGUGUCGUAGCUAACGCAUUAAGCGCCCCGCCUGGGGAGUACGGCCGCAAGGCUAAAACUCAAAGGAAUUGACGGGGGCCCGCACAAGCGGCGGAGCAUGCGGAUUAAUUCGAUGCAACGCGAAGAACCUUACCAAGGCUUGACAUACACCGGAAACGGCCAGAGAUGGUCGCCCCCUUGUGGUCGGUGUACAGGUGGUGCAUGGUUGUCGUCAGCUCGUGUCGUGAGAUGUUGGGUUAAGUCCCGCAACGAGCGCAACCCUCGUUCUAUGUUGCCAGCGGGUUAUGCCGGGGACUCAUAGGAGACUGCCGGGGUCAACUCGGAGGAAGGUGGGGAUGACGUCAAAUCAUCAUGCCCCUUAUGUCUUGGGCUUCACGCAUGCUACAAUGGCCGGUACAAAGGGCUGCGAUACCGUAAGGUGGAGCGAAUCCCAAAAAGCCGGUCUCAGUUCGGAUUGAGGUCUGCAACUCGACCUCAUGAAGUCGGAGUCGCUAGUAAUCGCAGAUCAGCAACGCUGCGGUGAAUACGUUCCCGGGCCUUGUACACACCGCCCGUCAAGUCAUGAAAGUCGGUAACACCCGAAG
This 934-nucleotide ribosomal RNA is filed under the name Curtobacterium flaccumfaciens. RNAcentral's name for it is "bacterial SSU rRNA". It matches the Rfam family "Bacterial small subunit ribosomal RNA", at positions 494 to 1426 of the family's 1533-position model. Lineage: Bacteria; Bacillati; Actinomycetota; Actinomycetes; Micrococcales; Microbacteriaceae. The record is from RNAcentral.